GAUGAAGAACGCAGCAAAAUGCGAUAAGUAAUGUGAAUUGCAGAAUUCAGUGAAUCAUCGAAUCUUUGAACGCACAUUGCGCCCGCCAGUAUUCUGGCGGGCAUGCCUGUUCGAGCGUCAUUUCAACCCUCAAGCACAGCUUGGUGUUGGGACUCGCGUUAAUUCGCGUUCCUCAAAUUGAUUGGCGGUCACGUCGAGCUUCCAUAGCGUAGUAGUAAAACCCUCGUUACUGGUAAUCGUCGCGGCCACGCCGUUAAACCCCAACUUCUGAAUGUUGACCUCGGAUCAGGUAGGAAUACCCGCUGAACUUAAGCAUAUCAAUAAGCGGGGGA
This 332-nucleotide unclassified non-coding RNA is filed under the name soil metagenome. RNAcentral describes it as "partial contains 5.8S ribosomal RNA, internal transcribed spacer 2, and large subunit ribosomal RNA". The stretch from base 1 to 120 matches the Rfam family "5.8S ribosomal RNA", at positions 35 to 154 of the family's 154-position model. The record is from RNAcentral.